GGCCCAGUUCUCACUGAAAUGGGAGACCACCAAAUUUUUUUUUUUUUUUUUUUUUUUGCUUUUAAAUGUUAAACAUAUCACUUUAAGAAUUCCUCAGUAGAUGUCUGUGAUGUCAAAUUUGGUAGAAUUUGAAGAGAAAAAUGUUCAUAUUCAUAAAAACUAUUUAAUAGGUACUCAUUUUCAAUUUUGACCCCAACCUUAAAUAGUUCUGAAUAUAACUCAUGUUAUUAAUUGUCAUAAUCAAAACUGGCAUUGUUGUGCUUCAUGAACAAUUGAGAAAAGAUGAAAAGGCAAUAAACCUUAAUCAGCUCAGUGAUUAGAGAAAUGUAUCACAGUGUGAACACAUGGUGAUACAUACAUCCACUUUCCCCUUGUACUGAAAAACAUUGAGAGUCAGUCGUAUUUCCCGUGGACAUGAAAUGCAGAACAUCAAACAGCCGAGUGUCUGCAGAAUAGGUUUGAUACAUAAUGUGGUACAAGGGAGAUAUAGAAUACUUUCUGCAGUCUUGUAAGAGAUAUGCUGGCCAUGCCUCUUUUGAUGCCACCCAGGACGCAGUUGGUCUUCUGAGCUGCAAGUUCUCACUGCUGGCUCAUUUCAAGCUUUUCAUCCACCAGAACCCCCAAGUCCUUCUCCACAAGGCUGCUCUCAAUGAGUUCUUCUCCCAGUCUAUACUCAGGGGACAUAGGUGUUCACAUUGAUGGAGUAUUUCAAAAUGUGUCUGAGACUCCAACAGACCUGCAACAUUGGAUUUCCAAAUACAACAACACCUUCAGUUGAUUGAUUUGUGUAUGUCUCUGAUGUCUCUGUUUAUAAAAGAAGAAAAUAAUUCAGAAGACUAAGGCUCUAACCUAGCACUAUUGCUGGUUUGCUCAUGUGAUCUUUGAGAAGCCACUUCAGAUUCUAUGCCUUAACUUUCCCAUUUGAAGAGGGGAAAUGACGUUGCUUACAUCACAAGUGUUUAUCAGAGUGUUUUGUCCAUGUU
RNAcentral lists this long non-coding RNA (983 nucleotides) under Anser brachyrhynchus (Pink-footed goose). Its description in RNAcentral is "lncRNA (ENSABRG00000018817.1)". Lineage: Eukaryota; Metazoa; Chordata; Aves; Anseriformes; Anatidae. The record is from RNAcentral.